Molecule: ribosomal RNA, 492 nt
Filed under: uncultured bacterium
Lineage: Bacteria
Description: partial 16S ribosomal RNA
Rfam family: Bacterial small subunit ribosomal RNA
Source: RNAcentral
AGUGAACGCUGGCGGUAGGCCUAACACAUGCAAGUCGAACGGCAGCACAGUAAGAGCUUGCUCUUACGGGUGGCGAGUGGCGGACGGGUGAGGAAUACAUCGGAAUCUACUUUUUCGUGGGGGAUAACGUAGGGAAACUUACGCUAAUACCGCAUACGACCUACGGGUGAAAGCAGGGGAUCUUCGGACCUUGCGCGAUUGAAUGAGCCGAUGUCGGAUUAGCUAGUUGGCGGGGUAAAGGCCCACCAAGGCGACGAUCCGUAGCUGGUCUGAGAGGAUGAUCAGCCACACUGGAACUGAGACACGGUCCAGACUCCUACGGGAGGCAGCAGUGGGGAAUAUUGGACAAUGGGCGCAAGCCUGAUCCAGCCAUACUGCGUGGGUGAAGAAGGCCUUCGGGUUGUAAAGCCCUUUUGUUGGGAAAGAAAAGCAGCAGGUUAAUACCCCGCUGUUCUGACGGUACCCAAAAAAUAAGCACCGGCUAACUUCGUG